AAGUGUCACUGAAUCACACCUUAUAUAGGUUCAAAAUAGGUUGAACGUUUCUACCAACUACCGGAAUAGUUGACUAUAAGGCUGGUUGGUAUUUUU
RNAcentral lists this non-coding RNA (96 nucleotides) under Hungatella hathewayi. RNAcentral describes it as "Clostridium hathewayi Guanine sequence". It matches the Rfam family "Purine riboswitch aptamer". Rfam says of the family: Riboswitches are metabolite binding domains within certain messenger RNAs that serve as precision sensors for their corresponding targets. The record is from RNAcentral. Lineage: Bacteria; Bacillati; Bacillota; Clostridia; Lachnospirales; Lachnospiraceae.